This 253-nucleotide ribosomal RNA is filed under the name uncultured bacterium. Its description in RNAcentral is "partial 16S ribosomal RNA". It matches the Rfam family "Bacterial small subunit ribosomal RNA", at positions 524 to 776 of the family's 1533-position model. The record is from RNAcentral.
UACGUAGGUGGCAAGCGUUGUCCGGAUUUAUUGGGCGUAAAGCGCGCGCAGGCGGUCUUUUAAGUCUGAUGUGAAAUCUCGCGGCUCAACCGUGAGCGGUCAUUGGAAACUGGAAGACUUGAGUACAGAAGAGGAGAGUGGAAUUCCACGUGUAGCGGUGAAAUGCGCAGAUAUCGGGAAGAACACCCGUGGCUAAGGCGGCUCUCUAGUACGGUACUGACGCUGAGACGCGAAAGCGUGGGGAGCGAACAGG